Long non-coding RNA from Anolis sagrei ordinatus, 469 nucleotides. RefSeq lists it as uncharacterized. The record is from RefSeq and is a predicted model, not a curated record. NCBI's taxonomy places the organism in Eukaryota, Metazoa, Chordata, Lepidosauria, Squamata, Anolidae.
UCAAAGGCCUGUGUGUGUUUGGAGCGGCUGCGUAGUGCUUCCUCUUCCUGUCUGGGGUCAGGGAAGCUUCAUUCGCGGUUGAAAGGCUGCUGAGAGUGGGAGCGCCAUGUCAGGCCGAGAAGGUGGAAAAAAGAAGCCCCUGAAGCAGCCGAAGAAGCAGUCGAAGGAAAUGGAUGAGGAAGAUGUUGCUUUCAAGCAAAAACAGAAGGAUGAACAGAAGAAACUGGAAGAGUUGAAAGCAAAAGCAGCUGGGAAGGGCCCACUCAGUGGAGGCGGGAUAAAGAAGUCCGGUAAGAAGUAGUAGCAGUCCUGAUGAAUGGCCUUGCGAGGGACAAGAGAAGCGCUUUCCUUCCCUCAGAGGCUUGGCAGUGAGGAAUAUUCCCAGGCUCAUGUCAUGUGAAACAUUGCUUUGAGCACCUUUGUACAUUUUGUUCAAACAAAAUAAAUGUUGCUGUUGUUUUUGUUUAAA